This 253-nucleotide ribosomal RNA is filed under the name uncultured bacterium. RNAcentral's name for it is "partial 16S ribosomal RNA". It matches the Rfam family "Bacterial small subunit ribosomal RNA", at positions 524 to 776 of the family's 1533-position model. The record is from RNAcentral.
UACGGAGGAUCCAAGCGUUAUCCGGAUUUAUUGGGUUUAAAGGGUGCGUAGGCGGGGGUUUAAGUCAGUGGUGAAAGUUUGCAGCUUAACUGUAAAAUUGCCAUUGAAACUGAACUUCUUGAGUACAAAUGAGGUAGGCGGAAUGUGUUGUGUAGCGGUGAAAUGCUUAGAUAUAACACAGAACACCAAUUGCGAAGGCAGCUUACUGGCAUGUAACUGACGCUGAUGCACGAAAGCGUGGGGAUCAAACAGG